GCUUGUAUAAGCCUAAAUUGGUAAGGCAGGAGAUUGCUAAUCUCUGAGUAGUCAGAUUCAUCUGGCGUUCUGGUUCGAGUCCAGAUGCAAGCGCUA
This 96-nucleotide transfer RNA is filed under the name Eubacterium ruminantium. Its description in RNAcentral is "tRNA_Pseudo_GCT". It matches the Rfam family "tRNA". Rfam says of the family: Transfer RNA (tRNA) molecules are approximately 80 nucleotides in length. The record is from RNAcentral. Lineage: Bacteria; Bacillati; Bacillota; Clostridia; Eubacteriales; Eubacteriaceae.